UAAAAACCUGUGAGCCUAAGAGUCAAUCCU
RNAcentral lists this non-coding RNA (30 nucleotides) under Mus musculus (house mouse). The record is from RNAcentral. Lineage: Eukaryota; Metazoa; Chordata; Mammalia; Rodentia; Muridae.